CCCUUAACGGCCAGGCGUACACACGUGCUACAAUGGCGUAUACAGAGGGAAGCGACCUCGCGAGAGCAAGCGGAACCCAAAAAGUACGUCGUAGUCCGGAUCGGAGUCUGCAACUCGACUCCGUGAAGUCGGAAUCGCUAGUAAUCGCAAAUCAGAAUGUUGCGGUGAAUACGUUCCCGGGCCUUGUACACACCGCCCGUCACACCAUGGGAGUGGGUUGCACCAGAAGUAGUUAGUCUAACCUUCGGGGGGACGAUUACCACGGUGUGAUUCAUGA
RNAcentral lists this ribosomal RNA (277 nucleotides) under uncultured bacterium. Its description in RNAcentral is "partial 16S ribosomal RNA". It matches the Rfam family "Bacterial small subunit ribosomal RNA", at positions 1198 to 1474 of the family's 1533-position model. The record is from RNAcentral.